AUUAGCCAAAAAUGAAAGUGUGGAGAUUACAAGUCACUGUGAAGAUAAAAAUAAAAAUGAAAUAAGAGAGGUAUAAGCAAAGGUACCUUGACAACGUCCAAAGAUUGAAAGCAAUGACCUCCUUCUACUCCAAAAUUUGCCGAAACUUGUAAUUAGCUCUAAAUUGAAUGAUUCUUAGUUUUUUGCAAGGCUAACUUAAAGAUUCUCUUUUUCUAAUAAAUCUCAUUGGAAUCUAGUAAUUCAAUCGUGAGAAUUUUUCCUUUGAAGUUCAGUGAUCUAAAUUGCCAUGGCGACCA
Molecule: long non-coding RNA, 296 nt
Filed under: Physcomitrium patens
Lineage: Eukaryota; Viridiplantae; Streptophyta; Bryopsida; Funariales; Funariaceae
Description: long non-coding RNA (PPAT_LNC007646)
Source: RNAcentral